RNAcentral lists this ribosomal RNA (492 nucleotides) under uncultured bacterium. Its description in RNAcentral is "partial 16S ribosomal RNA". It matches the Rfam family "Bacterial small subunit ribosomal RNA", at positions 30 to 507 of the family's 1533-position model. The record is from RNAcentral.
AUUGAACGCUGGCGGCAUGCUUUACACAUGCAAGUCGAACGGCAGCGCGGAGAAGCUUGCUUCUCUGUCGGCGAGUGGCGAACGGGUGAGUAUAGCAUCGGAACGUGCCAAGUAGUGGGGGAUAACCAAACGAAAGUUUGGCUAAUACCGCGUAAGCUCUCAGGAGGAAAGUAGGGGACCUAAAUAGGCCUUACGCUAUUUGAUCGGCCGAUGUCGGAUUAGCUAGUUGGUGGGGUAAUGGCUCACCAAGGCAAUGAUCCGUAGCGGGUCUGAGAGGACGAUCCGCCACACUGGGACUGAGACACGGCCCAGACUCCUACGGGAGGCAGCAGUGGGGAAUUUUGGACAAUGGGGGAAACCCUGAUCCAGCCAUGCCGCGUGUAUGAAGAAGGCCUUAGGGUUGUAAAGUACUUUUGUUAGGGAAGAAAAGCUAGUUUUUAAUAAAAAUUAGUGAUGACGGUACCUAAAGAAUAAGCACCGGCUAACUACGUG